This 253-nucleotide ribosomal RNA is filed under the name uncultured prokaryote. RNAcentral describes it as "partial 16S ribosomal RNA". It matches the Rfam family "Bacterial small subunit ribosomal RNA", at positions 525 to 777 of the family's 1533-position model. The record is from RNAcentral.
ACGAAGGGUGCAAGCGUUACUCGGAAUUACUGGGCGUAAAGCGUGCGUAGGCGGUUCGUUAAGUCAGAUGUGAAAGCCCCGGGCUCAACCUGGGAAUUGCAUUUGAUACUGGCGGGCUAGAGUACGGUAGAGGGUGGUGGAAUUCCCGGUGUAGCAGUGAAAUGCGUAGAGAUCGGGAGGAACAUCUGUGGCGAAGGCGGCCACCUGGACCAGUACUGACGCUGAGGCACGAAAGCGUGGGGAGCAAACAGGA